Molecule: long non-coding RNA, 3445 nt
Organism: Triticum dicoccoides
Lineage: Eukaryota; Viridiplantae; Streptophyta; Magnoliopsida; Poales; Poaceae
Exons: 4
Source: RefSeq, a predicted model, not a curated record
GAUACGGGGCGCCUGUGCGUGAACUCUUGCUUUUUAUUUCUCCUGCAUUUCGGUUUAGAUCGGGCGUCCAGGCGAUUUUAGCUUGAGGUUUGGCACGUAGCUGUAGGCUGUUGGUUGGAAGUUUAGGCGAGCUUUCGAGGUACUCGUUUGGUCGGGGUUGCAAAUGACCGGCAUUUGCCAUGCAUACGCGCGUACCGGUCAAUUUCGUUUUCGAGAGCGCAUCGAUUGGUAUUUUUCCCGAUCCGAAACAAAUUGCCCCCCAACCUUGUGAGCUGGAUUUUUCUUUGCUUUUUUUGUGGGCUAACACUUCUUCGGUCAGUUGCAGUGUUGAUCACUGUGUCAGAUGCGAAAUUUCGUUCGGAUUAUCACUUUUUUUGCAAUUUUAUUUUACAGAUGAUGUGAAGUCAGCAACGCAGCAACCACCGAAAGGAGAAAUUGCGGAGGGAUGCGCGGCAGAUGAUUUCAACGCGCCCCCAUGUGAUUCCACCAAGGAAGUUUCCACAAAGAACCUGGGACGUCUUAGAAAGCGAACAGCUGCUGGCGGUGCUGCAACUUCUGAGUUGCAUGAGGAUGAGCUAAAGGUUGCUGAUGUCAAGCUGAGCAAUGAUGAAGACUGGUCAUAAUGGGGAGUAUCAUAAUGCGUAAAAUGACGAGCGUGAUCGAGGCGUGGCGCCUCCUGGACUCCGUCCGUCGCCGCUUUGGCGACGACGUCCCCGCCGCUGGGCAGGAAGAGUGUUUCCACGCCUUCAACCUCCAUGUCCACGAUGUCGUACUCGAUGCCCACCUGCAAGGUCAGCCUCCCAUCCUCCCGGUCCUUCCCAGCAAAUUAAUCUGGACUUCAACCAUGAAUUAAACGUCCUGGUCUCUAAUGGGAACUUUUUUGUUACUGAACUUCGUAAUUGGUUUGCAUAAAAUCUGAGGUCUGUCUGACAUAUUUUACUUGACCACGGUUCGCUUCAGAAUUCUACUUUAUGUGAGCAUUACUUUCUUAGUCUAUCUGAUUUACUUGGAGGAGUAUUUAAUUACACGUAUGUGUAGUACAAGUUGUUAUUUCCUAAUAAUUUUGAUGGCCUCUAAGCAUCGUUGUUCAUGUCUAUUAUUAUUUAUGAAAGCUACAUGUCUUGGAGGGAAGUUGCGACUUGAGGGUGUGAGCUCCCAUUCUCUCAAUUUCUUGGCAUGGCCAUGCUUGCAGUACUGAUAAGACAUCGUUGUUCAUGUCUAUUAUUAUUUAUGAAAGCUACAUGUCUUGGAGGGAAGUUGCGACUUGAGGGAGUGAGCUCCCAUUCUCUCAAUUUCUUGGCAUGGCCAUGCUUGCAGUACUGAUAAGACAUGCUUCAAAAAUGGAGGAGGGAGGACGUGAGCUGCUGCCUUGGUUCCUGUCCGCACCAGCUGCCACAGUAUGUAAUCAGGCCUCCACUAUCGUCCUCUGAAUUUUGGAUUACAUGCAUCUACAAGAGCGUGAGAGCUUGAGAGGGUAGCACAGUGCUACGUAGAAGUUAUUUUUCUCCAUGAAGUUGAUCAUGCGAAGCUGGUGCCAGAUAGAAGGUUAAUUGAGUUCUCAUCUCCAAAAUGUUUGCAUUCUAAGUAUCCUCUUUGAUUCAGUGGUUCCAUGAUGCUACAGUUCACUUGGUUUUCACCUCUUGAUGCUACUAUGCACAGAAGGUGUUUGCUAAUUUGCACAUUAAAAUUUUCUGAUAAACUAUGCCAAUAUCACAUGCAUAUGUAUUUUUUAGUGAUGUUCGAUUAUUAAUCCAUGUUACAAUAGAACGUGCCCACAUAACAAGUUUUUCCGCAAUCUUCGCAAGCAAGUAUUUGUUUGUUUAACUGCAGGUGGAAUAACAAGAUCCACUGUGUGUGUGCAAUGGCAACAAUAAAUACUCUGUGAGACUUCUGAUAAUUCUACUCUGCAUUUUUUUGCUUUCGUAUAAGUGUUCUGCCGCAUUGUGCAACUACGAUUGACAAAUAUGAUACACCUCAGGGGUUCUUUUUAUAUAUAUGGACUGAACAAUUGAUUUAGUUUUUUUUGUCAUACAGAUUGGGCAUCAAAGUAGACGACAAAGGAUGACAAACGAUUAAGUUCUGCACCUUAGUCCACUUACAACUUAUAAGUUGAUUGAUACUUUUCAUUUUAUAUUGAUGUGCUUCCAAUGAGAACAAUUUUUUCACCGGAUGUGUUUCAUUACAUAUGCCAUUUUAUUUAUGUGAAGUCUUUCAGACUUUCUUUUGAUUCUUUAUUUUAACGGCCUGAAAAAGGAUUAUAAGUAAUGUUGGGUUCCUGACAGGACAAAGGUAGGAAGAGAAGCAAAUCACAACCUUUAGGUUCAUGGUUUAGGAGCAGGAAAGUACAUGUCCAUCUUUGUGGUAUUCUCAUAUGAAUAAGCAUAAUACUACGUACAGAAUCUCUCAAUUGUGUAGACAGGUCAUCAAGUAAUGGUUAGUAAUUCAUAAUUCUGCUUCACCUUUAUGUUAAUGAUCCGCUUUUAAGUGUUUGUUGCCAAAGUGAGCAUCAAAUUGCAGGAAUCUCAAUAUUUGUUCUAUAUUUCUCGCAAGGCUCUUGUACGGUAGAUAUUUUUGCUUGGUCAUAAAUGAAUUAGUCCCAUGCUCUGACAGUAAGAUAAUGGAGCUAGGUGGACGAACAUCGGCAUUGAUGCCAAGAUUAUCUGACAUCUUGUUGUAGUAGUGUCUUAAUUGGAUAUGUUUACAGUUCUAAAAUCAAUGUUCAUCAGCAUCCAGCCUUCUAACUAAAAAGUAUUUUCGCAAGGGCUUCUCUGCACCGGUACGCUCUCUCGCUGGUACGCGAUUUGAGGCAUAGGAGCGAGGGGCAUGUUGCGAGGUCGUCUUCGGUCACGGCUACAACUUAUGACGAGAAGGGGAUUUAUGCUUAGUAGGCUGUCGUGUGGUUAGCAAGUCAUUGUCGCAGUCUCCGCCUCCCAGGUUGCCUCGGCUUGCUGCUGGUGUGUGUUGCUGCAACAGCCCCUUCCGGCCACCUCUGAGGUUGGGCAAUGUGGCCACUGAUGUCAAGGGUGUCGCCAUUUUACUUGCAAAGCACAAAUUGCACCGCACACAACAUCUUGCUAUGCAUGGCCACUGAUGUCAAAGAGAACCAAGUGCCUUGACGUACUAUAUAAAGAGAUCAUGUGAAAACAAAGCUGAAGUUCUUGAUCAGGAUGAGAAGGAAAGUGGUCUUCGAGCAACACUAAUCCUGGGUCAUACAUUUGGUCAUGUACAUAAUAUCUUCGAGCGUUGUUGUUUUUAUGUUGAGUUUAUCUGUCUUGCAUUACGAUGGUCCAUGUAAACUUAUUUGGAUGAAUUGACAGCCCAGUAAGAAGUUUGCUUUAUUUUUGUUGCUACUGCCUACUUUAUUGAAGCAUUUAUGUAGAUGACUCAUGUACUCACUUUUGUUGCUUGCUAAAAUAGAAAAGAAUACAACGAAGAAUAGUAUUUA